This 613-nucleotide ribosomal RNA is filed under the name Penicillium raistrickii. Its description in RNAcentral is "eukaryotic LSU rRNA". It matches the Rfam family "Eukaryotic large subunit ribosomal RNA", at positions 1 to 626 of the family's 3401-position model. Lineage: Eukaryota; Fungi; Ascomycota; Eurotiomycetes; Eurotiales; Aspergillaceae. The record is from RNAcentral.
UUGACCUCGGAUCAGGUAGGGAUACCCGCUGAACUUAAGCAUAUCAAUAAGCGGAGGAAAAGAAACCAACAGGGAUUGCCCCAGUAACGGCGAGUGAAGCGGCAAGAGCUCAAAUUUGAAAGCUGGCUCCUUCGGGGUCCGCAUUGUAAUUUGCAGAGGAUGCUUCGGGAGCGGUCCCCAUCUAAGUGCCCUGGAACGGGACGUCAUAGAGGGUGAGAAUCCCGUAUGGGAUGGGGUGUCCGCGCCUAUGUGAAGCUCCUUCGACGAGUCGAGUUGUUUGGGAAUGCAGCUCUAAAUGGGUGGUAAAUUUCAUCUAAAGCUAAAUAUUGGCCGGAGACCGAUAGCGCACAAGUAGAGUGAUCGAAAGAUGAAAAGCACUUUGAAAAGAGAGUUAAAAAGCACGUGAAAUUGUUGAAAGGGAAGCGCUUGCGAUCAGACUCGCUCGCGGGGUUCAGCCGGCAUUCGUGCCGGUGUACUUCCCCGCGGGCGGGCCAGCGUCGGUUUGGGCGGUCGGUCAAAGGCCCUCGGAAGGUAACGCCCCCUCGGGGGCGUCUUAUAGCCGAGGGUGCAAUGCGACCUGCCUGGACCGAGGAACGCGCUUCGGCUCGGACGC